CAAGUCCCGUGGUGAAUUUCACAUUGAAUUGCAAAUUCAAAGGAGCAGCUUCAAUUCUGCCGGGGCUU
This 68-nucleotide transfer RNA is filed under the name Equus caballus (horse). RNAcentral describes it as "tRNA-Cys". It matches the Rfam family "tRNA". From Rfam's summary of the family: Transfer RNA (tRNA) molecules are approximately 80 nucleotides in length. Lineage: Eukaryota; Metazoa; Chordata; Mammalia; Perissodactyla; Equidae. The record is from RNAcentral.